Molecule: unclassified non-coding RNA, 148 nt
Filed under: soil metagenome
Description: partial internal transcribed spacer 1
Source: RNAcentral
CCGAGUUUUACAACUCCCAAACCCCUGUGAACAUACCUAUAUGUUGCCUCGGCGGAUCAGCCCGCGCCCCGUAAAACGGGACGGCCGCCGCAGGAUCCACAAACUCUGUUUUUAUUGUAAACUUCUGAGUAACAAAACAAAUAAAUCA